UCCUACGGGAGGCAGCAGUGAGGAAUAUUGGUCAAUGGUCGGGAGACUGAACCAGCCAAGCCGCGUGAGGGAUGAAGGUACAGAGUAUCGUAAACCUCUUUUGUCAGGGAACAAAGGCGGGGACGUGUCCCCGGAUGAGUGUACCUGAAGAAAAAGCAUCGGCUAACUCCGUGCCAGCAGCCGCGGUAAUACGGAGGAUGCGAGCGUUAUCCGGAUUUAUUGGGUUUAAAGGGUGCGCAGGCGGUCUGUUAAGUCAGCGGUCAAAGCCCGGGGCUCACCCCCGGCCCGCCGUUGCAACUGGCAGG
Molecule: ribosomal RNA, 305 nt
Filed under: uncultured bacterium
Lineage: Bacteria
Description: bacterial SSU rRNA
Rfam family: Bacterial small subunit ribosomal RNA
Source: RNAcentral